GAACGCUGGCGGCAGGCUUAACACAUGCAAGUCGAACGCCCCGCAAGGGGAGUGGCAGACGGGUGAGUAACGCGUGGGAAUCUACCUAGUUCUACGGAACAACAGUUGGAAACGACUGCUAAUACCGUAUACGCCCUACGGGGGAAAGAUUUAUCGGAAUUAGAUGAGCCCGCGUAAGAUUAGCUAGUUGGUGGGGUAAUGGCCUACCAAGGCGACGAUCUUUAGCUGGUCUGAGAGGAUGAUCAGCCACACUGGGACUGAGACACGGCCCAGACUCCUACGGGAGGCAGCAGUGGGGAAUAUUGGACAAUGGGCGCAAGCCUGAUCCAGCCAUGCCGCGUGAGUGAUGAAGGCCUUAGGGUUGUAAAGCUCUUUCAGUGGGGAAGAUAAUGACGGUACCCACAGAAGAAGCCCCGACUAACUUCGUGCCAGCAGCCGCGGUAAUACGAAGGGGGCUAGCGUUGUUCGGAUUUACUGGGCGUAAAGCGCACGUAGGCGGAUUGGUCAGUUAGGGGUGAAAUCCUGGAGCUCAACUCCAGAACUGCCUUUAAUACUGCCAGUCUCGAGUCCGGAAGAGGUAAGUGGAACUCCUAGUGUAGAGGUGGAAUUCGUAGAUAUUAGGAAGAACACCAGUGGCGAAGGCGGCUUACUGGUCCGGUACUGACGCUGAGGAGCGAAAGCGUGGGGAGCGAACAGGAUUAGAUACCCUGGUAGUCCACGCCGUAAACGUUGGGAACUAGAUGUGGGGACCAUUCCACGGUCUCCGUGUCGCAGCUAACGCAUUAAGUUCCCCGCCUGGGGAGUACGGCCGCAAGGCUAAAACUCAAAGGAAUUGACGGGGGCCCGCACAAGCGGCGGAGCAUGCGGAUUAAUUCGAUGCAACGCGAAGAACCUUACCAAGGCUUGACAUAUACGAGAACGGGCCAGAAAUGGUCAACUCUUUGGACACUCGUAAACAGGUGGUGCAUGGUUGUCGUCAGCUCGUGUCGUGAGAUGUUGGGUUAAGUCCCGCAACGAGCGCAACCCUCGUUCUAUGUUGCCAGCACGUAAUGGUGGGAACUCAUAGGAGACUGCCGGGGUCAACUCGGAGGAAGGUGGGGAUGACGUCAAAUCAUCAUGCCCCUUAUGUCUUGGGCUUCACGCAUGCUACAAUGGCCGGUACAAAGGGCUGCAAUACCGUAAGGUGGAGCGAAUCCCAAAAAGCCGGUCUCAGUUCGGAUUGAGGUCUGCAACUCGACCCCAUGAAGUCGGAGUCGCUAGUAAUCGUGGAUCAGCAACGCCGCGGUGAAUACGUUCCCGGGCCUUGUACACACCGCCCGUCAAGUCAUGAAAGUCGGUAACACCCGAAGCCAGUGGCCCAACCGUAAGGAGGGAGCUGUCGAAGGUGGGAUCGGUGAUUAGGACUAAGUCGUAACAAGGUA
RNAcentral lists this ribosomal RNA (1421 nucleotides) under metagenome. RNAcentral describes it as "bacterial SSU rRNA". It matches the Rfam family "Bacterial small subunit ribosomal RNA". The record is from RNAcentral.